UCCAUUUUUGUGAGUGAAAUUCAUCGCCAACCAUUUACCAGUCAACCGUAUAGACAGUGACACAGGCGUUACCGUUCUAGCCAUUCAUAAGAACAGAAAAUUGUUUUCCUUUCUCUAAACUAUAAUCGCCGAAGAAGAUCAAAGAAUCAUUCUCAGAGAAAAAAAAAUAAUAAAACAGCGUAAUCCUAUCCAGAAUCAAUGGGAACAGUCAUCGAUUCCCAUUUUCUAGCACUCACUGCCGUCGCCACUGUGGGAUAUCAGUUGCUAUUCUUUAUAAUCACUGCUCUUCUAAAGAUUGAUAAAGUCACAGACUUUGCUGGAAGCACCAAUUUUGUCAUACUUGCUGUGUUGACUCUGGUUUUGAAAGGGACGUGGCAUUUAAGGCAGGUAGUCUUGAGUUUACUUGUUGUUACAUGGGGUCUUCGCCUGGGAUUGUUCCUAUUAAUGAGGUAUUAAUAACCUGGCAUUUCAUGACCAUUUUCAUACUUAGUAUGCACUUCCACUUGGUCAUGAAUUAUUAAAGUUUUUUAUUGUUGCAUGAGUUGCUGAAGUGUGUUUGAUUUGUAAGAUUAGUUUAUGUGCUUUGUUUGUUGGUUUAUUAAUCGUGCAAGUUUUUGAAAUCAGUAGAUUCUAGCUUCCCAUCAAAUUCACAUCAAUUACAAGUUUCUAUGACAUCCCUGCUGGGCUGUGCCUUUUAGUGGAAUGGUUUGUCUUGCAGAGGAUGUCAAAGGUACUUUGGAAGGUUGCCUAUCAUGAAUGUGAUUCAAAAAGCAUAAAUUGCCUAAAAUAUUAUAAAAAAAAUGUCUUACAAUUUUCUCAUGGAAGAAACAUAGAAAAAAGAAAAAAUGGAAAGAAAGGACGUGCAUGGGAAACUCUUGGAAGUUGGAAGUUGGAAUCUGGAACUGAUGACCCACGGAGCUUUUAUGCACAAUUACACAAUUGAAACUUAAAACCAUUUUCUUUACUAAAAGGAUAGUUAAGAGUUGUUACUUCCUGUGAAAAAAUAGUUGUUUAUAAAACUAAAUGAUGAAGCAGUUGUGGAAAUUAUUCUCAUUGAGUGAUCCCCAUCCCUAUACUCCAUGGUAUAGCAGCAUGUAAGCUUAUAAACACUUCCCUAUGAUGUAUUGAGUUGGUUAUAUAUAUAUUAGGCAUUUUAUCAUUAUUCAACCUUGAGGAGUUAGAAGAAUAACAUUAAACUCCAUUGCAUGUUUAAAUAUGCAUAUAUGAAUGUAUGCAUGGAUUAUCUUUUAUGUAUGCGGUCAAAUAAAAAUCUCAAAUACUGUACAUUAAUGAAUUUUCUUUAUGAUUUAAGAUAUGGAAUGUUGUAAACAGGAUUCUGCAGUGGGGAGAGGAUAGACGCUUUGAUGAAAUGCGUGGUAAUUUGGGGAGAUUAGCAAUUUUCUGGAUAUUUCAGGCUGCCUGGGUUUGGACAGUGAGUUUACCUGUAACAGUAGUUAAUGCAAGUGACAGAAAUCCAUCUAUUCAGGCUGAGGAUAUAAUUGGAUGGCUUAUGUGGUCUGUGGGGGUUUCAAUUGAAGCUGCAGCUGAUCAACAAAAACUGGUAUUCAAGAACUCUCCAGAAAAUAGAGGAAAAUGGUGCAAUGUUGGACUAUGGAAAUACUCUCGUCACCCAAAUUAUUUUGGCGAGGUUUGCCCUGAAUUCUUAUUUCAAUACCGCUAUCUUGGAAGCGGUGACACUUAUUUUUCCUGCUGCUUUUUGUGAAUUAUGAUAAUGUAAUGCUGCUCUUACAAUAAUUUUAAGGUGUUAAUCUUUUUUUAUAAAUAUUAUUAAUAAUUAAUAAUGCCUAUUUCAAUACUUUACUGGUCACAUUGCAAAGGAUAGACUUGGUGGUAAUUGAUACAUGCGCCAUCUUUUACUUCACUAUCUUAUCGCUGUGCACCUGAAUUUGAUGAUAAAAUUAACAACAAUCAUGUGGUUCUAGGCUUCUAGCUGCCUACUUCUUUUAGCUUAAUAAAUGCAAGGAUAAUGAAUUUAUGUUAGCUGUGGAUUUGGAUAGAUGAGUAGACCUAUGAUAUGAACCUUAACUGAGUUAUCUUAUGGCACCGGAGGAUUGAUAUACUUUGCUAAUAUUAAAAUGUAUCUUUUCUGAUUUUUUUAUUCAGCCCUUUUAAUGAGGAAGUGACCUUAGUUUUUCUUUUGGUUAUUGAGGAAUACCUGGCAUUAAACAUACUCUAAAGCCACAUUUGAUCUUUCUUCAUUUCACUCCGUCAAAGAUAAACUUGUGCACAGAUUUUCCUCUGGUGGGGAAUUUUUGUGGCUUCUACUCCUGUGCUAGAAGGUGCUGAGUGGCUUGUAAUCCUUGGGCCGAUCUUUCUCACACUGUUGCUUUUUUUCGUCAGUGGCAUACCAUUGCUUGAGGAAUCUGCUGACAAGAAAUUUGGCAACGUGGCUUCAUAUAGAGUGUAUAAGAGGACAACUAGGUUAAGUAUUUCAUUUCUUCUGUUCUUUGUUUUGUUUUGAAUGAAAUUUGGAGGAAAAACCAGCUGGACUUACAUAUUCUGUUUCAGCCCCUUCAUUCCCCUGCCCCCUGCUGUGUAUGGGAACUUGCCUUCGUGGUUCAAAACAAUUUUCCUCUUCGAAUUUCCUUUCUAUAGUCGCAGUCUUCCAAAUGAGGGUACAACAUGGUGAGACUACUGUGUAACUAAAAAACCUAUCUCACCCUAGCAUGUGAUUUGAUCAAUUUGCAUUUGAAAUAUUAUGCUUAUUCUUCAUGUAAACUUGCUGCAUUCCCAGCAAUGGGCCAUAACAGCAUCUGCUUCAACACCACCAUUCUUUAUUGCAUAUGAUCUUUAGAUGCCAUCUGUCGUCUUCUGCUCUGUCUCCUUUCCCAAUCUUCUUAACUGGAUGAAGCCAACCAAUUGCUGCAUUUAUAAUUGAAUUGCUGUUACAAUGGUGUUCUAUUAGCAAUUUCGACUCUUCAAUUAUUUUCUCAUUUGGUUUCCAAUCUGCAAUGUUUUUAAGACUCACCACUUGUGCAAGGUGUAGAACAAGCUGAGUAGGAGUCAGCAGUGGAUUGAAGAUGAGUUAGAAUUUGAUUCUUUGCAACUGCUCUGGUUUAUAAUAGGUUCUGUUCAAGUUAUUAGUGCUAAGCUCUCAAGUACUUCUGCCUUUCAAAGUUAUAUGUAUUAGACUGUACAUUCUCCCCUCACUUGGAUACCUAUUGACUUUUGAUUUAUAAAGCUGCCCAAAUACUUAUUGAAGGUGCUUUUACAUCCCUCCAUGAGACAAUAGGGAUAUCAAAUUGAAUUGAAAAUCAUAUUCAUUUUAGUUUGC
RNAcentral lists this unclassified non-coding RNA (3295 nucleotides) under Hevea brasiliensis (rubber tree). Lineage: Eukaryota; Viridiplantae; Streptophyta; Magnoliopsida; Malpighiales; Euphorbiaceae. The record is from RNAcentral.